GACGAACGCUGGCGGCAUGCCUAAUACAUGCAAGUCGAGCGAACAGAUGAAGUGCUUGCACUUCUGACGUUAGCGGCGAACGGGUGAGUAACACGUAAGGAAUCUACCUAUAAGCGGGGGAUAACAUUCGGAAACGGGUGCUAAUACCGCAUAAUAUCUUCUUCCGCAUGGAAGAAGAUUGAAAGACGGCUCUGCUGUCACUUAUAGAUGACCUUGCGGUGCAUUAGUUAGUUGGUGGGGUAACGGCCUACCAAGACGAUGAUGCAUAGCCGACCUGAGAGGGUGAUCGGCCACAUUGGGACUGAGACACGGCCCAAACUCCUACGGGAGGCAGCAGUAGGGAAUCUUCCGCAAUGAGCGAAAGCCUGACGGAGCAAUGCCGCGUGAGUGAAGAAGGCCUUCGGGUCGUAAAACUCUGUUAUAAGAGAAGAACAAAUUGUAGAGUAACUGCUACAGUCUUGACGGUAUCUUAUCAGAAAGCCACGGCUAACUACGUACCAGCAGCCGCCGUAA
This 513-nucleotide ribosomal RNA is filed under the name uncultured bacterium. Its description in RNAcentral is "partial 16S ribosomal RNA". It matches the Rfam family "Bacterial small subunit ribosomal RNA", at positions 28 to 523 of the family's 1533-position model. The record is from RNAcentral.